RNAcentral lists this ribosomal RNA (484 nucleotides) under uncultured bacterium. Its description in RNAcentral is "partial 16S ribosomal RNA". It matches the Rfam family "Bacterial small subunit ribosomal RNA", at positions 899 to 1397 of the family's 1533-position model. The record is from RNAcentral.
ACUCAAAUGAAUUGACGGGGGCCCGCACAAGCAGCGGAGCGUGUGGUUUAAUUCGAGGGUACGCGAAGAACCUUACCUGGGUUUGACAUACUAGUGGUACUGAGAUGAAAGUCAAGGGACUCUUCGGAGAGCUAGUACAGGUGCUGCAUGGUUGUCGUCAGCUCGUGCCGUGAGGUGUUCGGUUAAGUCCGCAAACGAGCGCAACCCUUAUUGCCAGUUACAAGUGUCUGGCGAGACUGCCCGUGGCAAACGGGAGGAAGGUGGGGAUGACGUCAAAUCAGCAUGGCCUUUAUAUCCAGGGCUACACACACGCUACAAUGGCGCGUACAAUGCGUAGCGAAGCCGCGAGGUGGAGCCAAUCGCGAAAGCGCGUCUCAGUUCAGAUUGUAGGCUGCAACUCGCCUGCAUGAAGUCGGAGUUGCUAGUAACCGUGUAUCAGCACGGCACGGUGAAUACGUUCCCGGGCCUUGCACACACCGCCCGU